This 495-nucleotide ribosomal RNA is filed under the name uncultured bacterium. RNAcentral describes it as "bacterial SSU rRNA". It matches the Rfam family "Bacterial small subunit ribosomal RNA", at positions 32 to 536 of the family's 1533-position model. The record is from RNAcentral.
AAUCAACGCUGGCGGCGUGCCUCAGACAUGCAAGUCGAACGAUUAAAGCUCUCUUCGGAGAGUGCAUAGAGUGGCGCACGGGUGAGUAACACGUAAGUAAUCUACCUUCGAGUGGGGAAUAACGUCCGGAAACGGGCGCUAAUACCGCAUAAUGCAGCGGCAUCGCAAGAUGACAGUUGUUAAAGGAGCAAUCCGCUUGAAGAGGAGCUUGCGGCAGAUUAGCUAGUUGGUAGGGUAAUGGCCUACCAAGGCUACGAUCUGUAACCGGUCUUAGAGGACGGUCGGUCACACUGACACUGAAUAACGGGUCAGACUCCUACGGGAGGCGGCAGUCGGGAAUUUUGGGCAAUGGGGGAAACCCUGACCCAGCAACGCCGCGUGAAGGAUGAAGUAUUUCGGUAUGUAAACUUCGAAAGAAUAGGAAGAAUUAAUGACGGUACUAUUUAUAAGGUCCGGCUAACUACGUGCCAAGCAGCCGCGGUAAAGUCGAUAUCG